AACCCUCUGACUACCGACCCUGAUAAAAAGUAUGGUUCACAAUUGGAAACAUAUUGCAAAUACAUUUCUGCUAACAUACAACACAAUUGUAAUACUUUCUGAACUGAUUCUUCUUGUAAAAGCCAUUUGGGAUCUGAUACGGCAAUACGAUGUGCUUGGUGUAAAUAGUGUAGUGCUUUGUCAUUAUCAAUAUCAGUUUUUUUAAGAAAA
Molecule: unclassified non-coding RNA, 210 nt
Filed under: Bombus terrestris (buff-tailed bumblebee)
Lineage: Eukaryota; Metazoa; Arthropoda; Insecta; Hymenoptera; Apidae
Description: misc RNA ENSBTSG00005020100.1
Source: RNAcentral